UACGUAGGGGGCAAGCGUUGUCCGGAUUUACUGGGUGUAAAGGGCGCGUAGGCGGGUUGGCAAGUCAGAGGUGAAAUCCUACAGCUUAACUGUAGAACUGCCUUUGAUACUGCUGAUCUUGAGUACGGAAGAGAGAGACGGAAUUCCAGGUGUAGUGGUGAAAUACGUAGAUAUCUGGAAGAACACCAGUUGCGAAGGCGGUCUCUUGGUCCGUAACUGACGCUCAGGCGCGAAAGCGUGGGGAGCAAACAGG
This 253-nucleotide ribosomal RNA is filed under the name uncultured bacterium. Its description in RNAcentral is "partial 16S ribosomal RNA". It matches the Rfam family "Bacterial small subunit ribosomal RNA", at positions 524 to 776 of the family's 1533-position model. The record is from RNAcentral. RNAcentral also lists the same sequence under 1 other name.